Molecule: unclassified non-coding RNA, 381 nt
Filed under: uncultured bacterium
Lineage: Bacteria
Description: contains 16S-23S intergenic spacer region
Source: RNAcentral
UCCGGUUUGUCACCGGCAGUCUCCCAUGAGUCCCCGGCCGAACCGCUGGCAACAUGGGACAGGGGUUGCGCUCGUUGCGGGACUUAACCCUACACCCCACGGCACGAGCUGACGACAGCCAUGCAGCACCUGUGUCCCGACCUAUUGCUAGGAAGAAUCCAUCUCUGGAAACCGUCCGGGCAUGUCAAGGGCUGGUAAGGUUCUUCGCGUUGCGUCGAAUUAAACCACAUGCUCCGCUGCUUGUGCGGGCCCCCGUCAAUUCCUUUGAGUUUUAGCCUUGCGGCCGUACUCCCCAGGCGGGGCGCUUAAUGCGUUAGCUGCGGCACGGAGGACGUGGAAUGUCCCCCACACCUAGCGCCCAACGUUUACGGCGUGGACUAC